Molecule: unclassified non-coding RNA, 580 nt
Filed under: plant metagenome
Description: partial contains small subunit ribosomal RNA and internal transcribed spacer 1
Rfam family: Group I catalytic intron (bases 90-376)
Source: RNAcentral
AAGUCGUAACAAGGUUUUAAGUGUUGAGACUCUGUGAGUUUUCAUCAGAGUUUUCAAGGUCCUUUCGUGGAAUACACCUUAGGAAGCCUUUGCAGGUGUGGUUUUUGGCCACAUUGUUAACGCGACUAUAAAUACUGUUUAAGCUACUGCAAGUCGUCGAAAGAUGGCAAGACUGUCAAAUUGCGGGAAAACCCUUAGAGCCCUAGGUACACCAUUUCAGUCGAAAGGCUGAUCUGUCGUAAUAAUCCGCGGGAUUGGGUGAUCUGCAGCAAAGUCCGUAGCACGUUAGGGUGCCGGAUGAGGUUCAGAGGCCAAAUUAUAGUCGGUACACCUCGGUGUGCUUAAGAUAUGGUCCGGCUCGUUGCGAAAGCGGCGGGAUAAGUAUUCUACUUGAACUUAACCGUUCCGUAGGUGAACCUGCGGAAGGAUCAUUAAUGAAUGCAAGGAUGCUCUUUUUAGAGGUCCGACCCAUUUAAUUUCCACCCUGUGCAUUACACUACUCUUUACACAUCAUUUAUAACACGAAUGAAGUAUUUAAGAAUGUCAAAAGUCUCUUGAUUGAGCAUAAAAUAAAACAAAA